RNAcentral lists this ribosomal RNA (253 nucleotides) under uncultured bacterium. RNAcentral describes it as "partial 16S ribosomal RNA". It matches the Rfam family "Bacterial small subunit ribosomal RNA", at positions 524 to 776 of the family's 1533-position model. The record is from RNAcentral.
UACGUAGGGCGCAAGCGUUGUCCGGAAUUAUUGGGCGUAAAGAGCUCGUAGGCGGCUUGUCGCGUCGGAUGUGAAAGCCCGGGGCUUAACUUCGGGUCUGCAUUCGAUACGGGCAGGCUAGAGUUCGGUAGGGGAGAUCGGAAUUCCUGGUGUAGCGGUGAAAUGCGCAGAUAUCAGGAGGAACACCGGUGGCGAAGGCGGAUCUCUGGGCCGAUACUGACGCUGAGGAGCGAAAGCGUGGGGAGCGAACAGG